GCUGCUGUGUCCGAGUGGUUAAGGAGAUGGGUUUGGAAUCCACUGGGCUCUGUCCGCACAGGUUCGAAUCCUGUCCGCAGCG
RNAcentral lists this transfer RNA (82 nucleotides) under Penaeus vannamei (Pacific white shrimp). Its description in RNAcentral is "Litopenaeus vannamei (Pacific white shrimp) tRNA". It matches the Rfam family "tRNA". From Rfam's summary of the family: Transfer RNA (tRNA) molecules are approximately 80 nucleotides in length. Lineage: Eukaryota; Metazoa; Arthropoda; Malacostraca; Decapoda; Penaeidae. The record is from Rfam by way of RNAcentral.